Molecule: ribosomal RNA, 253 nt
Filed under: uncultured bacterium
Lineage: Bacteria
Description: partial 16S ribosomal RNA
Rfam family: Bacterial small subunit ribosomal RNA
Source: RNAcentral
UACGUAGGGUGCAAGCGUUAAUCGGAAUUACUGGGCGUAAAGCGUGCGCAGGCGGUGAUGUAAGACAGAUGUGAAACUCCCGGGCUCAACCUGGGAACUGCAUUUGUGACUGCAUCGCUGGAGUACGGCAGAGGGGGAUGGAAUUCCGCGUGUAGCAGUGAAAUGCGUAGAUAUGCGGAGGAACACCGAUGGCGAAGGCAAUCCCCUGGGCCUGUACUGACGCUCAUGCACGAAAGCGUGGGGAGCAAACAGG